GACGUCGUGGGCUGCAGCGCAGCAGCACCCAACGCAGUGAGUACCUUGAUCUCCUGCGUGGCCUCGUCCCUGGUCUUAGUUCCACCGGGCAGCGGGAGUCAGGACCGCCUGUCCUCAGACCCCUCCGCAGCGACUGUGGCGGCCGCAGGUUGCACGCCAGGGCCUGUACUGACCACCUCCACGUGCCACUGGGGCUGUAAGGAGGAAUGGCGGCCGUGGGCAGCCUGCUUGGGUAAGCAUG
Molecule: long non-coding RNA, 241 nt
Filed under: Homo sapiens (human)
Lineage: Eukaryota; Metazoa; Chordata; Mammalia; Primates; Hominidae
Description: non-protein coding lnc-C1orf35-2:2
Source: RNAcentral